This 632-nucleotide long non-coding RNA is filed under the name Gallus gallus (chicken). Lineage: Eukaryota; Metazoa; Chordata; Aves; Galliformes; Phasianidae. The record is from RNAcentral.
AAAUGUCCUGUUUCUUGAUCCAGCCUAAGACAUUUGCAGAGAUGACUCCUUUUUGCAUGCUGGAAAAGCAUCAGGCUUCAUUUUCACAAACAGGUGAUGAAGAAAUGUUUGCAACAAAUAAUGAAGAAUGUCAAUACCAUACUUCACCAUGAUUAAUCCUUAAUGAAUGGAGUAUCUUGAAUUUGAGUACCACGACAGCAAAGUCCAAAACAGAUUGGGUGCUAUAAUUGUAUGAAGGUACUGUAAGUGAUGGAAUUCUAAAGAGAUGGAAAUACCAGAUUACUCUUUUUUUUCCCUUAAUUCUUUUUGUUUGGCUGGCUUUUUUGUUUGUUUGUUUGUUUGUUACUCUCAAAUUGUUUUUAGGUAUUUAUUCAUAAAUUAACAGGAAAAUGAAAUAAAGGUAAAUACUAAAAGAAGUUGUUCCAUACAUUUCUGGUGAUAGAAAGGCAAGAUAAGAUCUUUAUUACUGUGCUUACAUAGCACUGAAGGAUGAGCCCAAGCGACCUUACCCAGCUGUUCUAGAUUAUCAAAUUAAGUGAAUAUUAUACAAAUGAAUCAUACAAUUUUUAUUUAUAAUUAAAUGUAGAAGGCAUAAAAGGAUAAUGGCUAUUUGGGCUAUUUAAAUAUCUAUU